Molecule: long non-coding RNA, 1970 nt
Organism: Felis catus (domestic cat)
Lineage: Eukaryota; Metazoa; Chordata; Mammalia; Carnivora; Felidae
Exons: 5
Source: RefSeq, a predicted model, not a curated record
GAUUGAGCUCGAGCUAGCUCAAAUAAAGGCUCUUUGCUUUUGCAUCAGACUCGGCUUCCUGGUGGGCUUUAGGGAGCGCGAAUUCUGGGCAUAACGCUGCCUUGGUUUGGAAGUGUUUUUAAAUGAUUAAGGAGCAGAGAUGUGCAGGGUAACAAAAGAAAUGACUAAAGUUCUCUAUUUCAUUGGGAAUCCGGCCCGACUUAAAAGUCCUGUUGCGCUGCUAAUCAAAGUAUGAAAUACAGAGAGAGCUUGAAAACAGCAUUAAUCAUUAAUCUGGGGAAGUGCUUACGGUUAUGAAUUCUUCAAGAGUUUCGAAAAACUUGCAGCACUUUUCCAGAUAGUACUCGGGAGGCUGUGUGUUUUUAUUUUUCUUUUCCUCAAGUCCCUUUUGAAGAGAUAACCAAAAAUAGUGUCAGGGUCAAGCUCGGGAGUUGGGGGGGCGGAAUGAGCUAUCCCUUCACAAACGGCUCCGGAAAACAACAUACAAUUCUCCUGUUUUUCAGUAACUGUUUUGGCUCCACGUCUGAAGUAGGAAUCAGUCGCUAACGUUUUGCAGACUAACGUUCCCAUGAAGCCACAAAGCUGCCCUCAGACGUGACGGGAUGGGGCACAAACCAGUCUCUGCCAGAUUACAAGCACCAUGCACUUCUUACUUGCCCAGGGUAGCAAAUGCCUUUGAACCACACUCCUUCCGCCUGGAAGGAACAGUGGAGAUGUGACAACCAUCUGAUGAUUUCGAUCUGGAUAAACAGCUCCAAAGGGACAGGGCUGAAAACAGCGGUUCUCAAAAUGUGGUCCCUGGACCGAAGGCACCAUCACCAUCACCUGAGAACUUGCUAGAAAUGCAAAUCCUGGCUCCAGGCCAGAGCUACUGAACCUGACACUCUGGGGCCUCCAGAGUGGUGAGCGAUACAUGCCUUUUGUUUGAACCCCUCACACCCCGGCCUUUUUAUGAUAGCAUCCCAAAUGGACUAAGACAAGGACAUGAAUGGGAGAACUGGUCCACACAAAGACCUAACAUGCCAAGCCCCCUCCCGGGAAUAGCACAGCCGAAGCCUUCCCACACAACGCGUGGCGACUUUUGAGUAGCUUGGACCAAGAUUUAUUGUCAACAACCCAGUCGGUAACAGCUGUUUGCAUUCCUCAGCCCCUCCAUUGCCUCCUGAAUGUCAAGUCUCUUAGCUGAAAGAGCAUCCUUCAUUUGGCUAUGCCUGCUCAAAAGAAUUACUUUUGCACGGUAUGAUCUGCUCAGCUAUACCCAUCUUCCACAUCCAGUCCUCCCAAGCCGGACAUGAAUACAAAAGAAAUGGAAGAUUAAUUCCAGAUAGUACGUGGCUCAAGCCAAUUAACUCGGCGCACACUGGAUGGUCCCUAAUCGCUCUUCUAGCGAGCGGAGGCUCUGCGUUUCCCUUCUUACUGCCUUCUGGCCUCUCUUUGUAAAUACAUACUAGUCAAAAUUGAAUCUGUCUCAUUGCACUUCCCUUUAGGAGCCUGGCUCUCGAGCCACUUUGUUUUUUUCCCUUUUGCAACUGCGUUUCGUAGACUUGACCCUUGUUCCUCAUUUGUAAUCUUUCCUAGGUGGACUAGCUGAAUAAAUUCAACACCCACAAGGGGGACAUUUGUCACCGAAAGGUGACAGCUAAAGCAUCGCCACAGUGAAAAUGCAGCGGGGCGGGGGGGUGGGAGGUGGGGAGGGGACAAAGAAGACCCGAGGGCCUUUGCUUCCCCAUCAGAAGAACAGUGAGGCACCUUAAAGAAUCCAUGGUUGGGGGAUGUGGUUGCAUGAAGCUGACAACACCACCUGCUUUUUUUUUUUUCUUUUUUUUUUUUUUCUCCUGCAGUUUUGUCUGGUUUGGUUUUGGUUGGAUUUUUCAUACAUCUGUUGUGACUGUGCUACCCUAAGCAAAAAUGUAUGCCCAACGCACACACUGAUUUAUCACUGGGCCACAUUAAAUAUGAUCUCCUGUCUA